Molecule: ribosomal RNA, 185 nt
Filed under: Capillaria aerophila
Lineage: Eukaryota; Metazoa; Nematoda; Enoplea; Trichinellida; Capillariidae
Description: partial small subunit ribosomal RNA
Rfam family: Eukaryotic small subunit ribosomal RNA
Source: RNAcentral
GUUCGAUUCCGGAGAGAGAGCCUGAGAGACGGCUACCACAUUCAAGGAAGGCAGCAGGCACGCAAAUUACCCACUCCUGGCAUGGGGAGGUAGUGACGAUAAAAACGGAACGUAUCACCACGAGACGCGUUACCGGAACGACUGAGCCGUAUACAAGCUCGGCGAAAGCUAUUGGAGGGCAAGUC